GUUUUAAAUACGUUUCCUAAUAAAUUUGUCUUCCCUCACUCUUUCUUGCCCUUCGUGGCUUAGUUUUGAAUAAAGCUUAGUUUCCUUGCGUGAUAGGUAGUUUUGAAUUUUCUAGCAAAUUUUGUUGCUUUUCACCUCAUCUUCAAGGGCGCAUGCCUAUGCCUUUAAGCCUAGGCUCCAAGAUCCCUUUAUGCCUUGCACCUUUACUAAUAGGAUAAUCAUCAGACAUUUAUUCCUUUGUCUUUGUUUGAAAACGUUGCUUAUUUUAUAUUUCCAC
RNAcentral lists this unclassified non-coding RNA (277 nucleotides) under Hevea brasiliensis (rubber tree). The record is from RNAcentral. Lineage: Eukaryota; Viridiplantae; Streptophyta; Magnoliopsida; Malpighiales; Euphorbiaceae.